Molecule: ribosomal RNA, 496 nt
Filed under: uncultured bacterium
Lineage: Bacteria
Description: partial 16S ribosomal RNA
Rfam family: Bacterial small subunit ribosomal RNA
Source: RNAcentral
ACGAACGCUGGCGGCGUGCCUCAUACAUGCAAGUAGAACGCUGAAGAGAGGAGCUUGCUCUUCUUGGAUGAGUUGCGAACGGGUGAGUAACGCGUAGGUAACCUGCCUUGUAGCGGGGGAUAACUAUUGGAAACGAUAGCUAAUACCGCAUAACAAUGGAUGACACAUGUCAUUUAUUUGAAAGGGGCAAUUGCUCCACUACAAGAUGGACCUGCGUUGUAUUAGCUAGUAGGUGAGGUAAUGGCUCACCUAGGCGACGAUACAUAGCCGACCUGAGAGGGUGAUCGGCCACACUGGGACUGAGACACGGCCCAGACUCCUACGGGAGGCAGCAGUAGGGAAUCUUCGGCAACGGGGGCAACCCUGACCGAGCAACGCCGCGUGAGUGAAGAAGGUUUUCGGAUCGUAAAGCUCUGUUGUAAGUCAAGAACGGGUGUGAGAGUGGAAAGUUCACACUGUGACGGUAGCUUACCAGAAAGGGACGGCUAACUACGUG